CGGUCAGGUAUGUUUAGUGAUGUUGGCUGAGUGUUACUAGUGUGCUGUUUCAUGUUAGUAUUCUUGUUUAGAGCACAGAGUUGGAUAAACCUUGCAGCUGGUGCUUGGUUGACGUGGUCUCUCUCAACCGUCUAAAGCAAGCGGGAGGGAGACUGUAAUAGCCCAGACGUUCUGCCUUAUGCUACAUAGUAGUUUUGCCCCAUUGUGUGCUGUAUUGCCGACCGAGUGAGCCCACGGGUGCACAGAAUGUUGCAUACCUGAUCGGUCGGGCUUUGAAAGAGCACAAGGAUACGAUUGUUAUCACGAAUUGGCAGUGCCUUGUCCCCCUUGUGCACGUAUUUAAUCCAGAUCGACAGAAUGAGCUCACAGCUUUCGGCUUGCCUGUGCAUUUAACAAGUAUUACGUUCUGGACAUUUGACUCAGGCGGUAUGUUUUUAAAGCUAUAAUACAUUGAUUCAUUUGCUAUUUGAUUUGUUUAUAAUUUAAUUUCAUUACAGGUAGACUUGUUGCAUCUGUGGGCGAUUUUAACUUCUUACUGUGGGGGCUUCGUGGGAAGUAUCGUCCAGAGGCGCUGUUGCUUUGCCGGUCCUCUAAUAUUAUUGUUGCGUUCUCUUGUGUUUUGUUCUUUUGUUAUUUGAGAAAUGUUUGUAAAAUGGUUGUUUAUUUUCUUUGUUCUGUUUAAUGUUUUCUUUUGAUUGAUUUAUUGUUUGGUAUUUUCUUUGACACUCUUUAUUGUAUUUCGAGUUAUUUUGUGUAUACAAGAGUGUUUACGUUCCUCCUGUUUUUGCUUUUGUGGUUUUAUGUGAUAGCUAAGAGCUUAAGGUGCCCCAAUAUUUAUUUGCUGUACGCAUCGUUUGCGAUUUAUAUCAGUGAUUUGUCUACCCUCAAGUGUAACAUACCAUCUUGUUGUUACAGGAGCUGAGUGCCGAAGGCGGGGUGGAUUUUGGUGGUGGUGCUACUUCACGAGUGCAGUGUGGAGUGUGUGUGUGUGUGUAUG
This is a long non-coding RNA of Cyprinus carpio carpio, 997 nucleotides long. Lineage: Eukaryota; Metazoa; Chordata; Actinopteri; Cypriniformes; Cyprinidae. The record is from Ensembl.